This 738-nucleotide ribosomal RNA is filed under the name Spirularia sp. CCZ 068. Its description in RNAcentral is "partial large subunit ribosomal RNA". It matches the Rfam family "Bacterial large subunit ribosomal RNA", at positions 1814 to 2564 of the family's 2925-position model. Lineage: Eukaryota; Metazoa; Cnidaria; Anthozoa. The record is from RNAcentral.
CAUAGCCACUUGCUAAAGGAACUCUAAAGUAUAGGAGGUGAAGCCUGCCCUAUGGUUGUAUCUGAAAUAAUAACAAAGCGGUUAUUUAUAAAGACAAUUUAAUGGCCGCGGUAUACCUAACUGUGAAAAUGUAGCGCAAUUAAUCGUCAAUUAAUUGUUGACAAGUAUGAAUGGCGUCACGAGUGCUUGGCUGUCUUAAGAAAAAACCCAAUGAAAUUGAAUUCGUAGUUAAGAUGCUACGUAAUUUUGUAAGACGAAAAGACCCUAUUAAGCUUUACUGGAGACUUAUAUUGUCUGAAUAAAUAGUUGUAAUAGAUGGGAAGUGUCAAUUAUAUAGUUUUAACAAAGUAGAAUUUGGUAAACCUUUAUGAUUGUAAUAACAAUAAGAUUUUAUUAUUCUUUAAGUUAAUACUAAACCAAUUAUAUAUAUAUAUAUAUUAAAGACUAUACUGGCAUAAAAGAAUGAAUUAGUAUGUUAGACAGUUUGGUUGGGGCGACUCCCUUAAAAAUGAUAACUGAGGGGCACUAAGGUAAUAAAGAAAAAGCUUGACUGUAAGAGGGCCCUCAAACAGACACGAAAGUGGGUAAAUCGAUCCGUUAGUUAAAGUGGAAUUGUUAACGAUAAACGAAUAAAAGUUACUAUAGGGAUAACAGCGUAAUAUUGUUAGAGAGUUCACAUUAACAACAAUGUUUGCGACCUCGAUGUUGAAUUGCGGCAUCCUAAGGGUGUAGAAGCUC